AGUGAACGCUGGCGGUAGGCCUAACACAUGCAAGUCGAACGGCAGCACAGUAAGAGCUUGCUCUUACGGGUGGCGAGUGGCGGACGGGUGAGGAAUACAUCGGAAUCUACUUUUUCGUGGGGGAUAACGUAGGGAAACUUACGCUAAUACCGCAUACGACCUACGGGUGAAAGCAGGGGAUCUUCGGACCUUGCGCGAUUGAAUGAGCCGAUGUCGGAUUAGCUAGUUGGCGGGGUAAAGGCCCACCAAGGCGACGAUCCGUAGCUGGUCUGAGAGGAUGAUCAGCCACACUGGAACUGAGCCACGGUCCAGACUCCUACGGGAGGCACCAGUGGGGAAUAUUCGACAGUGGGCGCAAGCCUGAUCCAGCCAUACCGCGUGGGUGAAGAAGGCCUUCGGGUUGUAAAGCCCUUUUGUUGGGAAAGAACAGCAGCAGGUUAAUACCCCGCUGUUCUGACGGUACCCAAAGAAUAAGCACCGGCUAACUUCGUG
RNAcentral lists this ribosomal RNA (492 nucleotides) under uncultured bacterium. RNAcentral's name for it is "partial 16S ribosomal RNA". It matches the Rfam family "Bacterial small subunit ribosomal RNA", at positions 29 to 507 of the family's 1533-position model. The record is from RNAcentral.